RNAcentral lists this ribosomal RNA (215 nucleotides) under uncultured bacterium. Its description in RNAcentral is "partial 16S ribosomal RNA". It matches the Rfam family "Bacterial small subunit ribosomal RNA", at positions 1277 to 1500 of the family's 1533-position model. The record is from RNAcentral.
GAAAGCCUGUCUCAGUUCGGAUUGAGUCUGNAACCCGACUCCAUGAAGCUGGAUUCGCUAGUAAUCGCGCAUCAGCCACGGCGCGGUGAAUACGUUCCCGGGCCUUGUACACACCGCCCGUCAGGCCAUGGGAGCCGGGAGUGCCUGAAGUACGUGACCGCAAGGAGCGUCCUAGGGUAAGACCGGUGACUGGGGCUAAGUCGUAACAAGGUACC